RNAcentral lists this long non-coding RNA (612 nucleotides) under Panax ginseng (ginseng). RNAcentral's name for it is "long non-coding RNA (PGIN_LNC016873)". Lineage: Eukaryota; Viridiplantae; Streptophyta; Magnoliopsida; Apiales; Araliaceae. The record is from RNAcentral.
UGGGUUGGAAUAUUAAGCAAAUUAAGAAGAGGAGAUGGGUGUCAACAAAAUUAUCAUUGUGUUCUUCAUCAUAUUUGCCUCAGCAACACUCAUUGCAACCACAACCAGUGCUGGUAAAUCAUCCACCUCCCUCUAUCUUUUUUUGUUACCUCCCUCUUAUCUUUUUUUGUCAAUUUUUUCAACAAAUAUAUUAUUAUUUUUUAUAGUUAAAUUUUCAAUCUACAAGCAGCUAGAUAUGUGCACAUUAUGGUAAUUAAUGUCACAUCUACCAAAAUUAUUUUGACAUAUACAUUAUUAUAUAUAUAUAUAUAUAUAUAUAUAUAUUUCAUUUUACUAUUUCAAAUUUUUUGUAUAUUAUGGCAGCAGAUACAAGUGGAAUACCUACGGAGCUUUGCCUUAAUCGACAAUGUACGGUGAAAUUUCUUCCGGAUGAUUGUAAAAAAGCGUGUGUUGCCAAGGGAUACAAGGGGUGUGUGAGUUUGUAGGGAGAGGAUGUUGUUGUAAUAAUUAGACAUGAGAAAUAUUGUAAUAAGCAUCUACUCAUUUUAUAAAUAAAUUGUUACAUAUAUUUAAAAAUAUAUGUAGUCUUUGGAACAAAUAAAGAAUAACUAG